Molecule: unclassified non-coding RNA, 368 nt
Filed under: fungal sp.
Lineage: Eukaryota; Fungi
Description: partial internal transcribed spacer region
Rfam family: Eukaryotic small subunit ribosomal RNA (bases 1-46)
Source: RNAcentral
AAGUCGUAACAAGGUUUCCGUAGGUGAACCUGCGGAAGGAUCAUUACCGAUUUUAUAAAAAAUAAAAUAAAAAUGCUCAUGAUGGUGAUUUUACCGUCAUCGUCAUGUUGCAAACUUUUUCUAUAGAAUUUUGAAAAUGUCAAAAAAAAUGUAAAAUUCUAUAGCGUGUAUUUACCAGUGUUGUGAUACACGUUAAACUUUUAUGAUUUUGAGCCUGAAUGAAAUGUGGCUCAUCUCAUAGCUCAAUAUCCUUGUAAUGAGGAUUUUGAGCAAAGCAAAAAUUUGAAAAUUUGAAAAUAUUAAUACAAAAAAAUAUAUAAAAAAAGAAAAAAAAGACUACCUCGAGUGGUGGAUCACUCGGCUCGUGG